Molecule: unclassified non-coding RNA, 520 nt
Filed under: Hevea brasiliensis (rubber tree)
Lineage: Eukaryota; Viridiplantae; Streptophyta; Magnoliopsida; Malpighiales; Euphorbiaceae
Source: RNAcentral
GGGAAGACUGACUAGUCCAGUUUCUGAUAUGGCAGAAAGAAGAAAAGAUGCUGGUUGCUUCAUGCUCAUGUUAUUUUUCUUUUGCUCCACACCAACAUUGACCAGGUGUUUUCCAUCCUUCUCCUCGAUGAGAAUUUUUUCGGAUUCAUCUGGAACAUCUCUCGAGUUAAUAUUGGCAUCAUUCAACUCUGCUGAACUAUAAGUUGACUUUUUUCCACCAUCUUUACCAAUGGAUAAUGAAUCUUCACUUUUAUUUAUACUACAUGAUUCAUGUAAUGGUCUAUCCUCCGAUACAUCUGGAGGAGAGACAAGCGCGCUACCAUUUAAUACAGAUAGCGGAGUUCUGCAUUCUUUGAAGGUCAUAUUUGCAGAAGAAUGCUCAAAAACGGCAAUCUCUGCUGGUUUGGCUUCUUGAUUGUCAAAUCCUAGAACUGUUUCUAUUGGAGAAGAUUCCCAGUCGAUGGAACAAUAGGUUUUGGGUCUGUAUGUUAAAACCACCAACAGAUGUAUGCUUAAGAGA